Molecule: non-coding RNA, 96 nt
Organism: Macroventuria anomochaeta
Lineage: Eukaryota; Fungi; Ascomycota; Dothideomycetes; Pleosporales; Didymellaceae
Source: the annotation of a RefSeq genome assembly
GACAAUGUGCCAGAGUGGUUAAUGGGUUAGACUUGAAUCUUCUGAUUUAGUCAUCUAAUGGCUUCGGCCUCGCAAGUUCGAAUCUUGUCAUUGUCG